RNAcentral lists this unclassified non-coding RNA (8085 nucleotides) under Rhagoletis pomonella (apple maggot). Its description in RNAcentral is "serine/threonine-protein kinase Tor, transcript variant X1". The record is from RNAcentral. Lineage: Eukaryota; Metazoa; Arthropoda; Insecta; Diptera; Tephritidae.
CAAGUGAGCCAGACGGAAAAAACUGUGUAAUUGAGUGCUACUGUGAAAAAAUUGUGGAAAAAAGUUAACAAAUACUUAGUGAAGUAAUUUUUUUAUAUCAAAUAAUUGUUAAAUACCCGCUACUACAAAUUCCACAACUUUUAUUCCAUAAAAAAUGAUAUAAAUUGUUCAGCCGACUAUUUUCAUAUUCACUUCACUACUUAACCUCAAAGUGGUUGUGUGAGACUCCCUGAGACACCCAAUCGCGUUUACGAUGCACCGCUAGUUGGAAAAUAGCGAAACCACAAUCGGAAAAGCUAAUGUUUGCUUAAUUAGAACAGAUUUGUACUAUUUUAUCUGUGUAUUAUAAAAAAAAACUAAAUAUGUCGACUGGAGCGCUGGUGCAGCAAUUCGUUUCUGGCCUCAAGUCGCGUAAUCGCAAUGUGCAAAGCAAAGCUGCACAGGAUUUGUUUCUAUAUGUAAAGACGGAGCUGCGUGAAAUGUCACAGGAGGACCUAGUCGCAUUCUUCGAUGAUUUCAAUCAUCAAAUAUUCAGUAUGGUAAAUUCUGCGGACAUCAAUGACAAGAAAGGCGCAGUUUUGGCCAUAAAAUGUUUAAUAAGUGGCGAUGUUGUGAAUACAAUGAAACGUAUUUCACCGUACUACAAUCACUUACGUACAUUGCUGCCUUCCAAUGAUACCACAGUAAUGGAGAUUGCAGCACGUACGCUGGUGAAAUUGGCUAACUUGCCCGGGUCAAAGGGUGCCGAAUCAAUCGAUUUUGAUAUCAAGCGCGCAUUCGAAAUGUUGAGUGGUGAUCGGCAAGAGUACCGCCGCCACGCAGCUGUCUUUAUUCUGCGCGAGCUAGCUAUUGCCAUGCCAACAUACUUUUAUCAACAAAUAUCAACAUUUUUCGAUAACAUUUUUAAUGCAAUAUUCGACCCCAAAGCAGCCAUACGCGAAUCGGCUGGUGAAGCGUUACGUGCCGCUCUUAUUGUUACCUCUCAACGUGAAAGCACGAAACAAUCAAGCGAACCACAAUGGUAUAAAACUUGUUAUCAAGAAGCAAACGCAAGCUUUGUAGCGGAACCAGUUGGUACAAAAGAUCAGAAGGGAAUGACACGCGAUGAUCGUAUUCAUGGCGGUCUUCUAAUCCUAAAUGAACUUUUCCGUUGUUCACAUGCCGCUUGGGAACGUCGUUAUGCUGCUUUGAAAGCACUUCUACCCGACGCACAACAUAACAAAUUUGGUGAAGUCAUGCACUCCAGCUCCGUUGGUAGUCAACUAACCACCUUAGUGCCUCGCUUGAAAGCACCAUUUAUAAGUAAGCUAGGUUCGACGCAUAUGCAUUUGGAACAUGAAGGACAACAUGGUGGUGCACAUAAGUUUUCAUCGGCCACCGUGCUGGAGUCUGCAUAUUCCCGUGAGAUACUCACAGAAAACUACACAAAUAUUUGCGAUAAUGUGCUGGAACAGCGCACCUCAAAAUCGCCUUACGUUCAGCAAGCACUGCUCCAAAUACUUCCACGCCUUGCUGCCUUCAAUCGUGAAGUAUUCGUGCAACGUUAUUUGCAAGAAUGUGUGAAUCAUUUGCUCAGCAUUGUGCCGCGAAAGGAGAAGGAUCGAAAUAUUGCAUACGUAACAAUCGGUUAUAUAGCAGUAGCUGUCGAACGUGAUAUUGACAAGCAUUUAAGGACAAUUAUGUGCGCUAUCAAAAUAGCAUUACCGCCAAAAAUCACACCCAGCAAACGUAAAUCGUCCAUAGACCCAGCUAUUUUUCAUUGCGUUACGCUACUUGCACACGCUGUAAAAUCGGCUAUCACCGAAGAUGUACGUAAUAUUCUAGAACAGAUGUUCUUUAGUGGUCUUUCGCCAGCACUGACCGUUUGUUUGCGGGAACUUGCUGAAAAUGUGCCACAUCUGAAGACUGCCAUUGCCGAGGGUCUCAUACGCGUGCUAUCGCAGGUUCUAAUGAAUAAACCAUUAACCAUGCCCUAUCAAACAUUGGCCACCAUACCUAUGGAUACAUCGUUAAAUCUGCAACAUGAUGUACCCACCGUUGUGCUGGCGCUAAAAACACUUGGUAGUUUCAAUUUCGAAGAGCAAAAUAUGCUCGAUUUCGUGCAACGCUGUGCCGAUCAUUUCAUUAAUCAUGAGCAGCAAGAGAUACGCUUGGAAGCGGUGCAAACGUGCACACGUUUACUAAAACUCGCCGUGCAGUCGGCUGACAGUUCAGAAAGCUCAAAUACACUUAGCGAAACAGUGUCACAUGUCAUUGAGCGACUGCUGAUUGUCGCCAUUACAGAUAUGGAUUGUAAUGUGCGCAUACGCAUAUUACGUUCUUUGGAUGAAACCUUCGAUGCUGAGCUGGCACAGCCUGAAUCGCUUAGUGCACUCUUUAUUACAUUAAAUGAUGAAAUUUUUGAAAUACGCGAGCUAGCAAUGGUUACAGUGGGACGCUUGUCCGCUAUGAACCCGGCGUAUGUAAUGCCAAAACUGCGUAAAAUAAUGAUACAACUACUGACUGAAUUGGAACAUUCGGGUAUGAGUCGCAACAAAGAGCAGAGCGCUAGGAUGCUGGACCACUUGAUUAUCAGCACACCAAGAUUGAUUUCAUCUUACAUGCACCCUAUACUUACCAUCCUUGUGCCCAAAUUACGCGAAGCCGACCCUAACCCUGGCGUUAUAUUGAAUGUCUUGCGCGCGAUCGGCGAUUUGGCUGAAGUGAAUGGCGGCUCGAAUGAAAUGGAAUUGUGGGCUGACGAUUUGCUAUCCAUUUUGCUUGAAAUGCUUGGUGACGCUGGUAGCCCAGAGAAACGUGGCGUUGCCUUGUGGACACUGGGUCAGUUGAUUAGCGCUACUGGUCGUGUGGUGACCCCCUACCACAAGUAUCCUGUGCUUAUUGAUAUACUUAUUAAUUUCUUGAAAACUGAACAACGUCGCUCCAUACGUCGUGAGACAAUACGGGUGCUCGGUCUACUGGGCGCCAUGGAUCCUUAUAAACACAAAAUGAAUAAGGGCUUAAUAGAUAGUCAGAAAGACAGCGUACUUAUAUCGUUGAGCGAUUUCAAAAUGGAUGAAAAUCAGGAUAUUUCAACAGCAGAACUACUUGUGAAUAUGAGCAAUGUACUUGAUGAAUACUAUCCAGCCGUGGCGAUUGCAGCACUGAUGCGCAUUUUGCGUGAUCCCACACUGAGCAGUCGCCAUACUAGCGUCGUACAAGCAAUAACUUUCAUAUUCAAAAGUCUGGGCAUUAAGUGUGUGCCAUAUUUGGCGCAAGUGUUGCCAAGUUUGCUGGAGAAUGUGCGCACGGCUGAUAUAAAUUUGCGCGAAUUUCUCUUCCAGCAGUUAGCCAUAUUGGUACAGAUCGUUAAACAGCACAUUAUAAGCUACAUGGGUGAUAUUUUUAAGCUCAUCAAAGAGUUUUGGACUGUUUAUACGCCACUGCAGUUGACAUUGAUCAAUUUGAUUGAGCAGAUCGCAUUGGCUUUGGGCUGUGAAUUCCGCAAUUAUUUGUCGCAGUUGAUACCACAAAUUUUACGCGUACUUCAGCAUGAUACUUCCAAGGAUCGCAUGGUAACCAAGCGUCUGCUGCACGCAUUGCAAAAAUUCGGCAAUACCUUGGAUGACUAUCUACACUUGAUUGUGCCGCCAAUUGUUAAGUUGUUCGACGCGCCAUAUGUGCCGCAACAAGUGUCGCUAGUGGCGUUGGAAACCAUCGACCAUCUCGCCUGGAUACUUGACUUUACUGACUUCUCUUCGCGCAUCAUACAUCCAUUGGUGCGUGUGCUAGAAGCCGAGCCUGAGUUGCGUGACCAGGCCAUGUCCACACUCUGCUCGGUGGUUAUACAGUUAGGCAAGAAAUAUCUCGUUUUUGUGCCACUUGUCGAACGCACCAUCGCGAAGCAUCGCAUUGUCGACCCAAAAUACGAGAAACUAUUAACUAAAAUCCAAAGUAAUACCACAAUGUGCCUGGACGAUGAGUUCCAUAUGCGGCAGGCUAAAUUUAAAUCCACCGAAUUAGUAGCGCCUAAUAGUGGCGGUAAUUUCACCAUGAAGCGUCUCAUUGUUUCUACAAGUAAUUUGCGCGCUGCCUGGCAGGUGACACGUCGUGUAUCCAAAGACGAUUGGGUUGAAUGGCUGAAGCGUCUCUCCAUAGGCUUGCUAAAGGAAUCGCGUUCGCAAGCAUUGCGUGCCUGCCACGUGCUCGCACAGGACUAUGACAAAUUGCUACGCGAUCUAUUCAAUGCGGCCUUUAUUUCCUGUUGGACAGAGCUUACUCCCGAACAUAAACACGAGCUUACACAAUCACUAAUACAGGCACUACAAGUAACCGAUAUGCCAGAAAUUACGCAAACUAUUUUGAAUUUAGCUGAAUUUAUGGAGCAUUGUGAUAAGGACCCAAUACCAAUUGAAACCAAAUUGCUUGGUACACGCGCCAUGGCUUGUCGUGCAUAUGCAAAGGCGUUGCGCUACAAAGAAGAGGAAUUCCAAACGCACAAAGAUCCACAGGUGCUUGAAUCCCUCAUACUCAUCAACAAUAAGCUUCAGCAAAAGGAAGCUGCUGAAGGUCUACUCACCACCUACCGCAACGCCAGCAAUGAGUUCAAAGUACAAGGUCGUUGGUACGAAAAACUGCACAAUUGGGAGCAAGCCCUUAAACACUAUUCCGGCAAUCUAAAAGAUAAUUGCAACGAUCUGGAAGCUCGGCUGGGUCAUAUGCGUUGUCUGGAAGCGUUGGGCGAGUGGUCGGAGCUAAGUACUGUCGCAAAACAGGAAUGGGACAAUCUGGGCCGUGAGGCCAGAUCGCGCGCAGGUCCGUUGGCUGCUGUCGCCGCCUGGGGCCUCCAAGAUUGGGAGGCCAUGCAAGAGUAUGUACGCUGCAUUCCGGAAGAGACACAAGACGGCAGCUUCUAUCGUGCAGUGCUCGCCGUGCACAAUGAGGACUUUGAGACGGCGCAGCGUCUAAUUGAUGGCACACGUGAUCUGCUCGACACCGAACUCACCUCCAUGGCUGGUGAGUCGUAUGAACGUGCCUAUGGCGCUAUGGUUUGUGUGCAGAUGUUGGCCGAAUUGGAAGAAGUAAUACAAUACAAGCUCAUACCCGAACGGCGUGAACCGCUGAAGGGCAUGUGGUGGAAGCGUUUGCAAGGUGGCCAGCGUUUGGUUGAAGAUUGGCGCCGCAUCAUACAGGUACACUCGUUGGUUGUGCGCCCGCAGGAAGACGUGCACACUUGGUUGAAAUAUGCCAGUCUGUGUCGCAAAUCGGGUUCGCUCCAUUUGUCGCACAAGACACUGGUAAUGCUGCUGGGCACAGAUCCAUUGGCACAACCGAACGAGCCACUGCCUUACAAUCAGCCACAGGUCACUUAUGCCUACACUAAGCACAUGGCUGCCGCCGAAAAUAUGCAGGGCGCCUACGAACAGCUCAGCCGCUUUGUAAAUGCUUAUCGUGCACAAUUGAAUUGUAUCGGCCCCGAGGAGGCGGCCAAACAGGCGGAUCAUCGCUUGCUAGCGCGCUGCUAUCUGCGGCUGGGCAAGUGGCAGAACAAGUUGCAGAGUUCGCUGGAGCCUGAAAUGGUGCAGGGUGCUUUGGACUGCUUCGAGAAGGCGACUGAGAAUGAUCCCACCUGCUACAAGGCGUGGCAUCUGUGGGCAUACAUGAACUUCAAGGUGGUGCAAGCGCAGAAGCAGCAGCUCGAUAAGCUGGCGCAUACGACUGUGAACGGCGACGUACUGCUGCAAAAGGAGAAGCUGAUGAUCGAACAGUAUGCCGUUCAGGCGGUAGACGGCUUCUUCCGCUCCAUCAGCCUCAUCAAAGGCAAUUCCUUGCAAGACACACUGCGCCUACUAACGCUAUGGUUUGACUAUGGCCAAUAUUCAGAAGUUUAUGACGCACUGCUCACUGGCAUGAAGACGAUCGAGAUCAACACUUGGUUGCAGGUGAUACCACAGCUUAUUGCGCGCAUCGACACGCACCGCAAGCUGGUCAAUCAGUUAAUACAUCAUCUGCUCAUCGACAUAGGCAAAUACCACCCACAAGCACUCGUCUACCCACUGACUGUGGCUUCCAAAUCGGCAUCGGUGGCACGUAAGAACGCUGCCUUCAAGAUACUCGAUUCGAUGCGUAAACACUAUCCCACGCUUGUCGAGCAGGCGAUGAUGUGCAGUGAGGAACUGAUACGCGUUGCCAUACUUUGGCACGAACAAUGGCAUGAGGGACUAGAAGAGGCGUCACGUCUUUACUUUGGUGAUCGCAAUGUGAAGGGCAUGUUUGAUAUACUCGAGCCGUUGCACGCGCUGCUCGAACGCGGUCCACAGACGCUGAAGGAGACAUCCUUCUCGCAGGCUUACGGUCGUGAACUAACCGAAGCGUACGAGUGGACACAACGUUACAAGACUUCUUCUGCACUGAUGGAUUUGGAUCACGCUUGGGACAUCUAUUAUCACGUUUUCCAAAAAAUUUCACGCCAAUUGCCACAGCUGACCUCACUCGAACUGCCCUAUGUAUCGCCCAAAUUGCUGGCAUGCAAGAAUCUGGAAUUGGCUGUGCCCGGCUCCUAUAAUCCCAAUCAGGAAUUGAUACGCAUCGACUACAUUAAAACCAAUCUGCAGGUGAUCACUUCAAAGCAGCGUCCACGUAAGCUUUGUCUGCGUGGCUCCAACGGCAAAGAUUAUAUGUAUCUGCUGAAGGGCCACGAGGAUUUGCGUCAAGAUGAGCGUGUCAUGCAACUUUUCUCGCUGGUCAAUACACUUUUACUCGACGAUCCAGACACGUUCCGUCGCAAUCUGGCCAUACAACGUUAUGCCGUCAUACCGUUGAGCACCAACUCUGGUCUCAUCGGUUGGGUGCCACAUUGCGACACCUUACACACGCUAAUACGAGACUAUCGCGACAAGCGAAAGAUGCCGCUCAAUCAGGAGCAUCGUCUCAUGUUGAGCGUCUCGCCCGACUAUGAUCACUUGACCUUAAUGCAAAAAGUUGAGGUGUUUGAGGGCGCGCUAGCGCAAACGCAUGGCGAUGAUCUCGCAAAAUUACUGUGGCUAAAGUCACCAUCGUCGGAGGUGUGGUUCGAGCGACGCACAAACUAUACACGUUCACUCGCCGUCAUGUCCAUGGUAGGCUACAUACUCGGCCUAGGCGAUCGCCAUCCCUCCAAUCUGAUGUUGGAUCGCAUGAGUGGCAAAAUACUGCACAUAGAUUUCGGUGAUUGCUUUGAGGUUGCAAUGACGCGCGAAAAAUUCCCCGAAAAGAUACCUUUCCGCCUGACGCGCAUGCUUAUCAAGGCUAUGGAAGUGACGGGUAUCGAGGGUACAUAUCGACGCACUUGCGAGAGUGUCAUGUUGGUGUUGCGACGCAACAAAGAUUCGCUUAUGGCGGUGUUGGAGGCAUUCGUCUAUGACCCGCUGCUAAAUUGGCGUUUGCUGGAUAUGGACAAAAAUCUUCGUUCCAAAUCAAAUAAUGAUCCAGGGGGUUCGGGCAUGUUGGGUGGCGGUAAUGGCAGUCUUAGCAACUCAGUGGAAGAACCGUUGCUGCACAGUCAACUAAUGAGCGCCAAUCUGAUGGUAGGUGGGCCCAUGAUGGUGGCCGACAUAACAAACAGCAAAGCGAGCAAGGUCAUCAAACGCGUGAAGAGCAAAUUAAAUGGCACUGACUUCCAAACGCAGAAUAGUGUGGCGGUGCCACAGCAAGUGGAUCUGCUCAUACAACAGGCGACCAAUAAUGAAAACUUAUGCCAGUGUUACAUUGGUUGGUGUCCAUUUUGGUAAGAAAUUAAAUGCGAAAAUCAUAGCAGAGAGAGGACAGAAGGCAAAAGUGUGAGAUAGUACAUAGAUGUGUGUCACAAUUACACGAAAGUGAAUUUUACAUAAGUGAGAAUAUAGCUUAAUGCAACAGGCUGUUGUUGAAGAACGCGUUUUGUUGCACGCUUUAAUUUGUUUUAGAGAAGAGAAGCUGCUUAAUCGUCGCUCAAAGAGCUGUAAGUACAGGAAAAUACUUCCUCCUAAUAUGCAGCGCAAUGAAAACAGCUUCACAUAAAAAUACAAUCGCCGUUCGGAGUCGGCGUAAAACUGUAGGUCCCUCCCCUUUGUGUGACAAUAUCAAGGC